RNAcentral lists this ribosomal RNA (497 nucleotides) under uncultured bacterium. Its description in RNAcentral is "partial 16S ribosomal RNA". It matches the Rfam family "Bacterial small subunit ribosomal RNA", at positions 28 to 507 of the family's 1533-position model. The record is from RNAcentral.
GAUGAACGCUGGCGGCGUGCCUAAUACAUGCAAGUCGAGCGAACGGACGAGAAGCUUGCUUCUCUGAUGUUAGCGGCGGACGGGUGAGUAACACGUGGAUAACCUACCUAUAAGACUUGGAUAACUUCGGGAAACCGGAGCUAAUGCCGGAUGAUAUUUUGAACCGCAUGGUUCAAAAGUGAAAGACGGUCUUGCUGUCACUUAUAGAUGGAUCCGCGCUGCAUUAGCUAGUUGGUAAGGUAACGGCUUACCAAGGCAACGAUGCAUAGCCGACCUGAGAGGGUGAUCGGCCACACUGGAACUGAGACACGGUCCAGAGUCCUACGGGAGGCAGCAGUAGGGAAGCGUCCGAAAUGGGCGAAAGACUGAAGGAGCAACGCAGCGUGGGUGAUGAAGGUCUUCGGAUCGUAAGACUCUGUUAUUAGGGAAGAACAUAUGUGUAAGUAACUGUGCACAUCUUGACGGUACCUAAUCAGAAAGCCACGGCUAACUACGUG